Long non-coding RNA from Olea europaea var. sylvestris, 466 nucleotides. RefSeq lists it as uncharacterized. The transcript is spliced from 3 exons. The record is from RefSeq and is a predicted model, not a curated record. NCBI's taxonomy places the organism in Eukaryota, Viridiplantae, Streptophyta, Magnoliopsida, Lamiales, Oleaceae.
AUAUUUUAUGCUUAAAUUUUUAGAGUUUUGAUUUUAUUUGUUUAAUUUUCAGAUUUUAAGGAAGGAAUAUAUAUGUUUUCAAGUCAAUAUUUUUGAAUUGGAGAUGCUAUUUACACUAAGAUAGAUAGUAGCUGAGCUGAGCACUACUGGGCCAAUUGAUCUAUCAAGUUGAACUAUAAAUUGUCAAGCAUUGUAUGACUCAUCUUAUCAGGGAAGGACAGAAGAAGUUCAUUAAUGGCUCAAAGAGAGUGAACUUGUGUCUUUUUUCAUAUCAAUUUCAUGCUUGAAGACUUGGCAUUUGUUCAGAAGUUGAAUAAGUAACCAUGUUAUUAUUUUCGUAUGGAAGAUAUCUUUCAUAAAUUGCAAUACACUCUUUCUAAGCUCUUUCUGAAAUCGUGUUCAAACUUAAUGGAAGUUCACUCUAUCUUGUACAAGAUGAUCAAUUGAAUUUUAACAUUACCAUUCA